This 253-nucleotide ribosomal RNA is filed under the name uncultured bacterium. Its description in RNAcentral is "partial 16S ribosomal RNA". It matches the Rfam family "Bacterial small subunit ribosomal RNA", at positions 524 to 776 of the family's 1533-position model. The record is from RNAcentral. RNAcentral also lists the same sequence under 1 other name.
UACGGAGGGUGCAAGCGUUAUCCGGAAUCAUUGGGUUUAAAGGGUCCGUAGGCGGAUAAUUAAGUCAGAGGUGAAAUCCCACAGCUUAACUGUGGAACUGCCUUUGAUACUGGUUGUCUUGAAUUAUAGUGAAGUAGAUAGAAUGUGUAGUGUAGCGGUGAAAUGCUUAGAUAUUACACAGAAUACCGAUUGCGAAGGCAGUUUACUAACUAUAUAUUGACGCUAAUGGACGAAAGCGUGGGGAGCGAACAGG